Molecule: ribosomal RNA, 377 nt
Filed under: Praon volucre
Lineage: Eukaryota; Metazoa; Arthropoda; Insecta; Hymenoptera; Braconidae
Description: partial 16S ribosomal RNA
Source: RNAcentral
UCUUAUUGAUUAUAAUUUUAAGUCUAAUCUGCCCAAUGAUAUUUUAUUUAAUGGCUGCAGUAUUUAUAACUGUACAAAGGUAGCAUAAUAAUUAGUUUUUUAAUUGAAAACUAGAAUGAAAGAUUAAAUGAAAUAUAUACUAUAUAAAUAAAAUUAAAAAUUAAAAUUAAAAUUUAAGUAAAAAUUCUUAAAUUAUUUUAAAAGACGAGAAGACCCUAUAGAAUUUUAUUUUUUAUUAUUUUAAAAUUUAAUAAUAAAUUUAAAUAAAUAAUAAAAAAUUUAAUUGGGGUAAUUUUAAAAUUAAAUUAAUUUUUAUUUAAAAAACAUAAAUUAAUGAAUUUUUAAUCUUAAAAUUUAGAUUAAAAAAAUAAAUUACC